UCUGCAAUCGAUUUCUGCAAU
Non-coding RNA from Caenorhabditis elegans, 21 nucleotides. The record is from Ensembl. Lineage: Eukaryota; Metazoa; Nematoda; Chromadorea; Rhabditida; Rhabditidae.